GCUGGGUGUGGUGGUGCAUGCCUGCAGUCCCAGCUACUUGGGAGGCUGAGGCAGGAGAAUCACUUGAACCCAGGAGGUCGGGGGGUUGCAGUGAGCUGAGAUCAUGCCACUGCACUUCCAGCCUGGGCUACAGAGCGAGACUCUGUCUCAA
RNAcentral lists this signal recognition particle RNA (151 nucleotides) under Gorilla gorilla gorilla (western lowland gorilla). Its description in RNAcentral is "Metazoan signal recognition particle RNA". It matches the Rfam family "Metazoan signal recognition particle RNA". From Rfam's summary of the family: The signal recognition particle (SRP) is a universally conserved ribonucleoprotein. It is involved in the co-translational targeting of proteins to membranes. Lineage: Eukaryota; Metazoa; Chordata; Mammalia; Primates; Hominidae. The record is from Rfam by way of RNAcentral.